RNAcentral lists this long non-coding RNA (498 nucleotides) under Nicotiana benthamiana. RNAcentral describes it as "long non-coding RNA (NBEN_LNC032710)". The record is from RNAcentral. Lineage: Eukaryota; Viridiplantae; Streptophyta; Magnoliopsida; Solanales; Solanaceae.
GCGAUCCAACCUCUCUUUUGUAUCCGCCAUAGCUAUCUCAAGUUUAUCUAACCGAGCUUCAAAACUAGCAAGAUAGUCACGAGAUUUACCUCCCAUAUGUGGUGGUGGGACGGUGCGCUCCUCCUCGCGACCCUUGCAAACUUGCUCCUCACCGCCGCUAGCCAUGUCGUGAAUGUGCCCAGCUAACCCACGAACCCUUUCGUAGUGUGGCUCUGAUACCAACUGUCACGGACCGGAUAACUCCCUAGCUAUCUUCCGUGUGGCCUUAGUCACAAUCCGCCCCUGCGAUGUGCUAAGUCAGCCUUUCCCUGAAAUAUUGCCACAACAAAGCUAAGAGAGAAGCUAAGAAGAGAAGCUUGCAAGAAAGCUUUUUAUUAAACAAGAGAAUGCUUUAUACAGGUGUUGGAUUGCUUGAAUGUUUCUUGGAUGCAAAUGGCAAAUGCCUCUAGCCUAUUUAUAGUUGCUAGAGUCCCAAAUCAACGGCUAAGAUCUAUUCUA